RNAcentral lists this transfer RNA (68 nucleotides) under Dipodomys ordii (Ord's kangaroo rat). It matches the Rfam family "tRNA". Rfam says of the family: Transfer RNA (tRNA) molecules are approximately 80 nucleotides in length. Lineage: Eukaryota; Metazoa; Chordata; Mammalia; Rodentia; Heteromyidae. The record is from Rfam by way of RNAcentral.
GGAAAGUUGGCUCAGUGGUAAAGCGCUUGCCUUGCAUGCAUGAGGACCUGGGUUCGAUUCCUCAGCCG